CCUACGGGUGGCAGCAGUGAGGAAUAUUGGUCAAUGGGCGCGAGCCUGAACCAGCCAAGUCGCGUGAGGGAUGAAGGUUCUAUGGAUCGUAAACCUCUUUUAUAAGGGAAUAAAGUGUGGGACGUGUCCUAUUUUGUCUGUACCUUAUGAAUAAGGAUAGGCUAACUCCGUGCCAGCAGCCGCGGUAAUACGGAGGAUCCGAGCGUUAUCCGGAAUUAUUGGGUUUAAAGGGUGAGUAGGCGGCCUUUUAAGUCAGCGGUGAAAGCUUGUGGCUCAACCAUAGAAUUGCCGUUGAAACUGGGGGGCUUGAGUAUGUGUGAGGCAGGCGGAAGGCGUGGUGUAGCGGUGAAAUGCUUAGAUAUCACGCAGAACCCUGAUUGCGAAGGCAGCCUGCCAAGCCAUGACUGACGCUGAUGCACGAAAGCGUGGGGAUCAAACAGGAUUAGAUACCCUUGUAGUC
RNAcentral lists this ribosomal RNA (460 nucleotides) under uncultured bacterium. Its description in RNAcentral is "partial 16S ribosomal RNA". It matches the Rfam family "Bacterial small subunit ribosomal RNA", at positions 338 to 795 of the family's 1533-position model. The record is from RNAcentral.